UGGGGAAUAUUGCACAAUGGGCGCAAGCCUGAUGCAGCAACGCCGCGUGAGGGACGACGGCCUUCGGGUUGUAAACCUCUUUUAGUAGGGAAGAAGCGAAAGUGACGGUACCUGCAGAAAAAGCACCGGCUAACUACGUGCCAGCAGCCGCGGUAAUACGUAGGGUGCGAGCGUUGUCCGGAAUUAUUGGGCGUAAAGAGCUCGUAGGCGGUCUGUCGCGUCUGCUGUGAAAACCCGAGGCUCAACCUCGGGCCUGCAGUGGGUACGGGCAGACUAGAGUGCGGUAGGGGAGAAUGGAAUUCCUGGUGUAGCGGCGGAAUGCGCAGAUAUCAGGAGGAACACCGAUGGCGAAGGCAGUUCUCUGGGCCGUAACUGACGCUGAGGAGCGAAAGCGUGGGGAGCGAACAGGAUUAGAUACCCUGGUAGUCCACGCCGUAAACGUUGGGCGCUAGAUGUGGGGACCAUUCCACGGUUUCCGUGUCGCAGCUAACGCAUUAAGCGCCCCGCCUGGGGAGUACGGCCGCAAGGCUAAAACU
Molecule: ribosomal RNA, 536 nt
Filed under: uncultured bacterium
Lineage: Bacteria
Description: partial 16S ribosomal RNA
Rfam family: Bacterial small subunit ribosomal RNA
Source: RNAcentral